This 500-nucleotide ribosomal RNA is filed under the name uncultured bacterium. RNAcentral's name for it is "partial 16S ribosomal RNA". It matches the Rfam family "Bacterial small subunit ribosomal RNA", at positions 30 to 523 of the family's 1533-position model. The record is from RNAcentral.
AUUGAACGCUGGCGGCAGGCCUAACACAUGCAAGUCGAGCGGAUGAGGAGAGCUUGCUCUCUGAUUCAGCGGCGGACGGGUGAGUAAUGCCUAGGAAUCUGCCUGGUAGUGGGGGACAACGUUUCGAAAGGAACGCUAAUACCGCAUACGUCCUACGGGAGAAAGUGGGGGAUCUUCGGACCUCACGCUAUCAGAUGAGCCUAGGUACGAUUAGCUAGUUGGUGAGGUAAAGGCUCACCAAGGCGACGAUCGUUAACUGGUCUGAGAGGAUGAUCAGUCACACUGGAACUGAGACACGGUCCAGACUCCUACGGGAGGCAGCAGUGGGGAAUAUUGGACAAUGGGCGAAAGCCUGAUCCAGCCAUGCCGCGUGUGUGAAGAAGGUCUUCGGAUUGUAAAGCACUUUAAGUUGGGAGGAAGGGCAGUAAGUUAAUACCUUGCUGUUUUGACGUUACCGACAGAAUAAGCACCGGCUAACUUCGUGCCAGCAGCCGCCGUAA